UUUUUGACUUGCUUUGCAUGGCAGGCUCCCUGCACUUACGUGCGGCCAACUGUCGUGGGCUGUCUAUUCGUUGUCCCUUUGAUGAGCUUUUCGGCUCUUUAGGGGUGCUCGGUUGGGUUGCCUGUGUGGUAUUACCAUUGUCGGUAGCAUGAUUGUCACGUUGUGGCCUAUUUAGCUUUCCCGGUUGAUGCUGUGCAUCGACGGGGGGCCGAGGUGUUCGCAGAUUCCAUUUGUUGCCAUGUGCUUGUGCCUUGGAAAUGCAUUUGGGAUUAUGUUGGGUCUCACGGAUAUUGUCCCUUCAGUGAGAGGUCUACGGGCUUCAAGCUUGUAGACCUACGAGGUUGCCCGUGCACCAAUCAUCGUUCCCAGUGUUUUGCCGACAUGUCGUGGUUCUUGCGUCAUGCUGGCGGAUAUGCAGGGCAUAUGAUUCUGUGUGCGUGGAUGCCUCUUUGACCGAUUGACACGCGAUUGCUGGUUUGCAUUGUCAUGAGG
Molecule: unclassified non-coding RNA, 492 nt
Filed under: Cyperus assimilis
Lineage: Eukaryota; Viridiplantae; Streptophyta; Magnoliopsida; Poales; Cyperaceae
Description: partial external transcribed spacer 1f
Source: RNAcentral